RNAcentral lists this long non-coding RNA (566 nucleotides) under Marmota monax (woodchuck). Lineage: Eukaryota; Metazoa; Chordata; Mammalia; Rodentia; Sciuridae. The record is from RNAcentral.
GGUGAAGCUGGAAUGUGAAUCACACACUGUGGGCAAGAGUGAACAAUUUGCUGAGCUUCCUGUCAUAUAAUAUGAUUUUUGUGUGUGGAUUGGAAGCAUUCUGAUGAUGUGAGGAAUGAGAAGCUUGAGCACAGUCAUAUGGAGACAUUUGUACAUGGGCCACUAUAAGUUUAUCAGCCUUAGCAUUAUCUGAUGUUAAAGACCUGGAAGUUUAGAAUGAGCUCUAGUAUGACCAAUAAAACAAAGAUAUUGAUGCACUUGAACUGUUUAUUGUAAAGUAUGGAAUAAAUGGAAACAGAAGACACAGGGAAGAAUUGAUGUUGCAGAUCAAAUUUGAAGGUCGUCUUCUGGCAGAAUUCUUUCCUGUGAGAUGUCAGUCUAUUCUCUUAAGUUUUCGAACUGAUUGGAUGAGACCCUCCCACAGUGGAAGGUAAUCUGUUUUAAUCAAAGUCCACUGACUGGAUAUACGAAUUCCCACCCCACGCCCAAAACAAAAACUUUCACAGUAACAUUUAACUGGUGUUUGGCCCAAACUGCUGGGUAUUUGUGCCUAGCCAAAUCAGUAC